This 496-nucleotide ribosomal RNA is filed under the name uncultured bacterium. RNAcentral describes it as "partial 16S ribosomal RNA". It matches the Rfam family "Bacterial small subunit ribosomal RNA", at positions 28 to 507 of the family's 1533-position model. The record is from RNAcentral.
GACGAACGCUGGCGGCGUGCCUAAUACAUGCAAGUUGAGCGCUGAAGGUUGGUACUUGUACCAACUGGAUGAGCAGCGAACGGGUGAGUAACGCGUGGGGAAUCUGCCUUUGAGCGGGGGACAACAUUUGGAAACGAAUGCUAAUACCGCAUAAAAACUUUAAACACAAGUUUUAAGUUUGAAAGAUGCAAUUGCAUCACUCAAAGAUGAUCCCGCGUUGUAUUAGCUAGUUGGUGAGGUAAAGGCUCACCAAGGCGAUGAUACAUAGCCGACCUGAGAGGGUGAGAGGCCACACAGGAGCUGAGACACGCACCAGAAGCAUACGGGAGGCAGAAGGAGGGAAUCUGAGGCAAGGGGGGAAAGCAGGACGAAGCAAUACUGAGUGAGUGAAUAAGGGUUUCGGAGGGGAAAAAGCUGUGAUGGGGGAAGAAAAAAGGUGUAAGGAACAAUGCAAGGAGUGAGGGUACCGAAGCAGAAAGGCACGGCGAAGUACGGG